RNAcentral lists this ribosomal RNA (185 nucleotides) under uncultured bacterium. Its description in RNAcentral is "partial 16S ribosomal RNA". It matches the Rfam family "Bacterial small subunit ribosomal RNA", at positions 332 to 509 of the family's 1533-position model. The record is from RNAcentral.
ACUACGCCUACGGGAAGCAGCAGUAGGGAAUUUUCGUCAAUGGGGGCAACCCUGAACGAGCAAUGCCGCGUGAGCGAAGAAGGUCUUCGGAUUGUAAAGCUCUGUUGCCGGGGAAAAAGGAAGGAAAGAGGAAAUGCUUUUCUUUGGAUGGUACCCGGCCAGAAAGUCACGGCUAACUACGUGCC